CGAGUCCGAAAGGGGUAGACGAUGGCAAAUUGGUUAAUAUUCCAAUACCAACAUUAGUGUGCGAUGGAAGGACGCUUAGGGCUAAGGGGGCUAGCGGAUGGAAGUGCUAGUCUAAGGUCGUAGGAGGGUAUACAGGCAAAUCCGUAUAACAAUACUCCGAGAACUGAAAGGCUUUUUGAAGUCUUCGGAUGGAUAGAAGAACCCCUGAUGCCGUCGAGCCAAGAAAAGUUUCUAAGUUUAGCUAAUGUUGCCCGUACCGUAAACCGACACAGGUGGGUGGGAUGAGUAUUCUAAGGCGCGUGGAAGAACUCUCUUUAAGGAACUCUGCAAAAUAGCACCGUAUCUUCGGUAUAAGGUGUGGUUAGCUUCGUACUAGGAUUUACUCCGAAAGCGAAGAAACUUACAACAAAGAGUCCCUCCCGACUGUUUACCAAAAACACAGCACUCUGCUAACUCGUAAGAGGAUGUAUAGGGUGUGACGCCUGCCCGGUGCUCGAAGGUUAAUUGAUGGGGUUAGCAUUAGCGAAGCUCUUGAUCGAAGCCCGAGUAAACGGCGGCCGUAACUAUAACGGUCCUAAGGUAGCGAAAUUCCUUGUCGGUUAAAUACCGACCUGCAUGAAUGGCGUAACGAGAUGGGAGCUGUCUCAAAGAGGGAUCCAGUGAAAUUGUAGUGGAGG
Molecule: ribosomal RNA, 677 nt
Filed under: Campylobacter jejuni
Lineage: Bacteria; Pseudomonadati; Campylobacterota; Epsilonproteobacteria; Campylobacterales; Campylobacteraceae
Description: bacterial LSU rRNA
Rfam family: Bacterial large subunit ribosomal RNA
Source: RNAcentral